CCGUCUCCGCCCACCCACCCACCGGCCGCCGCGCCGCCCCUCCUCCGGCGCCGUUCCUCUCCUCCAGAUCUCCCCCGCCCCCACCCCACACAUCGCCUUUUCCUCUCCCGAGCAUGCCCGGCCGCCGCCGCCGCCCCCCGUCCCCCGUUCGCUAGGGUUGAGGUCGCUGGGCCUCCUCCGGCGGCAAGGUGCUCGGCGAGGAUGAGAAGAACGCCGGGAACGUCUCCGCCCGGCCCGAGGUCACCGACACUGGCGCCCCGAGCACCUUCUCCUCAGGCGUCGCCGCCCCGUUCCUCUUAGACUCCGACGCUGCCGGCCACCUGCACCGCCGUCCUCUUCAACUCUUCUGCUUCGUCGACGGUCGCCACCACGCAUCGAGGCCCAAGUUUGGAGGAAGAAGACUCCCAGGGACACCUCCAACUAAAUUGCUCAUGGCCAAUUAUCCUCAGCCCACAUAGCACCUAGCACCGACGUGAGGUGUUAAGAAGAUGCCAGGGAACAAAAAGAACAACAAAGUUGUGAGACUUGGCAAUGUGAUUGAAAGGUUAGGCAAGUUGACGGGGGUCAUAAAGAAGGGCACCGGUGCGACACGUUCCACACAGGUAGGCAGGGCCAAACCCGCACAACGAGCCACGGUGGAUGGUACCCAGGGUAGACGAAAUGGUCGUACCCUUGUGUCCCGUGUUGCUAGCCCUAUCCCCUCUGCCCAUUCUGAGGAGGAGUCGGAGGAGGAGAGGGAGGAGGAGCUAGUUAUGGAGGAGAGGGAAGAGGAGGCAGAGGAGGAGGGGGAGGAGGAGCUAGUUGUGCAGGAGGAGUUGGAGGAGGGAGAGUAUGAGGUGGAGGAAUCGGCAAAGCACAUGGAAUGGCCGGUUCCUAAGGAGACCAAAAUCUAGUUGCGUGGGGUGUCCACGCUGCCUUCGCGACCAUAUCCACAUAAGGGGAUCAUUGUUAAACCAGUUGGUGUGAGGGCCUUGGUGGUUAUUCCAGAAGGCACAAUCCCGCCAUGACAGCCAAGCACCAUCAUUAGAUGUCUUUGUAGGCAUUAUUAACCCGGCCUGGUUCCCAUAGGAGACGGUGAGGAGGAGCCAGCUUGGUCUUGGGAGCAUUGGAAACGCGCUCCAGAUACGAAAGACAAGUGGGACAGGGAGUACCGCAGUGCUGCUGAGCGGGUGGUCAACGAUUUUUGGGACUUCUUUACUUGCGUUGAGGGUAUGGAGGAUGAAGCUAAUGAGGUCGUGGAGGAGAUUGCCAAGAAGAUUGUCCAAGACAUGCCUUACGAGGCUCGCGUCAAUGCUGUGGUAAAGUAUUUCGCGCAUGAACGCAAGAUCCUUCUUAAAAAGCCGCUAGCCCGGAGAGUGCAUCUCACCCGUUCCAUGUACAUGAAGGCGGUUCCCCCGUGGUGCAACAACAAGAUUCCUUGCUACUAGCAAAUCAUAUCUAGGUGGAUAAACCCAGAGUGGAGGGCCACACGCAGAGCAGCUUCGGAGCGACGUGCCUUGAUGGGUGGUCCGGUACACCUUCAAGGCAACCUCAACCUCCAUGCUUACGUGCAGAAGAAGAAUAGGGAGAGAGGUGAGGGUGAAGAGCCGCUCAAUACCUUCACGGGAUUAUGUCUCUCCCGCAAGUCAAAGAAACUGGAAGGGGGGUGGGUCAACCCAAGGGCUGGGUUGAGGAUUGAUGCAUAUAAUGGGAAGUUCAAGGAGUGCAACGGGCCCAACUCUGAUCCAGCCUCACAUGACAUUGAUGUUACGGUUUCCCUCAAGUCGGGACAAGGCAAGAAGCGUGGGCGGUUAUAUGUUGGUGACGGUUCCAUCCGUAAGAAGGACAUUCCAAAACUUGCCCACCUCCGUGCUACCACGUCGAGCUCAGGCUCGCCUAGAGGAAGAAAGCAGGUUGCGGCAGGAAGAAACCAGGUUGCGGCUGGAGGCUCAGGCCAAUGCCCUACUUCAACAGGAGCAAGCCAUGAAAAUGCAGCAAGCCCUGUUUCAGCAGCAGGAAUUCAUGGUUAAACAGCAGGCGGCCCUGCAGGAGACGUUCGCUCGGUUCAGUACUAAUAUGCAGGGUUCUACUUUGCGGAUCUUCCUCCUGUUCCGCCGCUUCCUACUUUUAGCUUUUGUCCUCGAUCGGGAGAAGACUCCAAUAACUUUGUGGUAGGUGGAUCUACACCUGCCCAAGCAAGCCCAGUGACACCCACUGCGGCUCAUGGUGCUUCAACCUCCACACCACAAUGAUCACUCGAGGUUUGCAUCGUGGAUGUCAUCAAUGGUGGGCAUACAUGCUGUGGUGGAAGCUGAUUGCAUCUUUUAGGUUGAACUCAUGCUAGGUGUGAACUUGGAACUCAUGAUUCCAUUUGUGGACUCUUGUUGCAUUUGUAGGUGAACCCUUGUUGAAUAUGUACGCUUGUGGACUUUGAACUCAUGGCCCUUUUGUUUGUGAACUCUUGUUGCAUAUGUACACAUGUUUUUGUGAACCUUCUUUGAAUAUGUAUGCAUCUGUGGACUACUCAUGGUUGGUUUGU
Triticum dicoccoides is the source of this 2518-nucleotide long non-coding RNA. RefSeq lists it as uncharacterized. The transcript has 10 exons. The record is from RefSeq and is a predicted model, not a curated record. NCBI's taxonomy places the organism in Eukaryota, Viridiplantae, Streptophyta, Magnoliopsida, Poales, Poaceae.